GAAAAACGCAAGUGACGUGCCUAACACAUGCAAAUUUAAUAGUUAUUUUUUAACUAUAGUGAAUUGGUGAGUAAUAUAUGAAAAUUUAAUUUUAGAUUAGAAAUAUUCCUAAUAACUUAGGGUUAAUUUCUGAUAAGCGCAUUUGUGCUUUAAAAAGUUAAUACUGUCUAAAAAAAAGUUCAUAUCUGAUUAGCUAGUUAGUAAGGUAAUAGCUUACUAAGGCGAAGAUCAGUAGCUGCCCUGAGAGGGGGAUCAGCCACAUUGGGAUUGAAAUACAGCCCAAACUCCUACGGGAGGCAGCAGUGGGGAAUCUUAGACAAUGGGGGCAACCCUGAUCUAGCCAUGCCGCGUGAGUGAUGAAGGCCCUAGGGUUGUAAAGCUCUUUCAGCUGGGAAGAUAAUGACGGUACCAGCAGAAGAAGCCCCGGCUAACUCCGUGCCAGCAGCCGCAGUAACAC
RNAcentral lists this ribosomal RNA (457 nucleotides) under uncultured bacterium. RNAcentral's name for it is "partial 16S ribosomal RNA". It matches the Rfam family "Bacterial small subunit ribosomal RNA", at positions 32 to 526 of the family's 1533-position model. The record is from RNAcentral.